ACACUGAAAUGCUUGGUGGGAAAUCAAAGUGAAAUUCUUUGGCUGUACCUGCAAUCGUGAAAGUCGGAGCGCCACCCAGUGC
The submitters of this non-coding RNA (82 nucleotides) gave its source as unclassified sequences. The record is from Rfam.